UGAGGGAAAGUUGCAAAGAACUUUGAAGAGAGAGUUCAAGAGUACGUGAAACUGCUCAGAGGCAAACGGGUGGGCCCUCGAAAUCCGAUUGCGAGGGGAUUCAGUCGGCGAACGGUCGGGACUGGACGGACGUUUGUGGAUGGUACGCGUCUGACCGGCAGUGACCUGGGUAGUCCGACGCAAUUCCCCUCGCACAGUGGACGCUGCAGCCGGUUCGGUAACUUACGAGCUCGGCCAAGAGGACUCGCGAUGGCAGGUAGCCGGACCGCUUCGGUGGCCCGGUUGUUAGCCGGCGAAGUCAUUGGCGCGACACCGGACCGAGGCAGAAGGGAACCCUCCGUGGUCUCGCCGCGUCCUCGCUAACGAGCGGGAAGCGCGCGUCGGGGGCGUUGCGGUCGCGAGUGGUGCCACGGCUCCCCGUGGCCCUCUCCUUCGGCCCCUCAACGACGCGGCUAUGUCCGCAGCGAUGCAUGCGGCUGGCAGCGAGUAGGUCGGUCACCCACCCGACCCGUCUUGAAACACGGACCAAGGAGUCUAACAUGUGCGCGAGUCGCAGAGUCUUGAACAGGCUCUCGGGCGCAAUGAAAGUGAAGGCCCUCGAGGCCGUGUUGGGAAGUCCUCGUCUCAGAGGACCGCACCAACGACCUGUCCCGUCCGAUUUAUCGGUGGGGCGGAGUCAGAGCGUACACGUUGGGACCCGAAAGAUGGUGAGCUAUGCCUGGGCAGGACGAAGCCAGAGGAAA
RNAcentral lists this ribosomal RNA (743 nucleotides) under Belisana sp. Bor152. Its description in RNAcentral is "partial 28S ribosomal RNA". It matches the Rfam family "Eukaryotic large subunit ribosomal RNA", at positions 354 to 861 of the family's 3401-position model. The record is from RNAcentral. Lineage: Eukaryota; Metazoa; Arthropoda; Arachnida; Araneae; Pholcidae.